AUAAAGAUGAAAAACAGAAGAAACAUAAAAUGACACCAAGGCAUAUUAUAAUCAAAUUGCUUAAAACCAACGAUAAAGAGAAAAUCUGAAAAGCAGCCAGACAGAAAAAACACAUUAUACAGAGGAAAAGGUUCAUAAACUGAAGACCGAUAGCAAAAUGAUGUUCAGUUAAGCAAAUUCAACAUGUCUGAACCUUCAUAAAUUCGGCCCCAGUGAUGCUGUCCUGCAGUGUGAUCCUGGCCUACUCUUUGGGUGAAAUUGAAACUGAUAAUAUUUUGAUGUCAACGCAUCUCAUUCAAGAGCUGAGCUGUGAAAUCCUACGAAGCCAUGGCAGGGGGUAGCUUUCUGAGGUUAUCCAAUCCUAUCUGGUGACCGAUCCAGGAAAAGAGGAAAUGAAGCUGGCCCUCCUGUGUGGCUUGGGGAGAACCUAGGUAGAGCCUCAGAUCCUGGGCAUCGAUAUUCCACAUGGAUCCUGUUUGUACCUCUUGUAUUCACACCGGGGAAACUGCAAAGGGAAGACUGCUAAGUAAUGAAAAGGGACACAGUACCAUGCAGUUGAACACCAUGUCAAGUGAGGAUAAAGGAAAACAGCCAUGACAUCACUCCAUUACUGCCACCCCCAGUGUGCCUCAC
Molecule: long non-coding RNA, 633 nt
Filed under: Homo sapiens (human)
Lineage: Eukaryota; Metazoa; Chordata; Mammalia; Primates; Hominidae
Description: long non-coding RNA NONHSAT172681.1
Source: RNAcentral